This 2903-nucleotide ribosomal RNA is filed under the name Escherichia coli. Its description in RNAcentral is "23S ribosomal RNA". It matches the Rfam family "Bacterial large subunit ribosomal RNA". Lineage: Bacteria; Pseudomonadati; Pseudomonadota; Gammaproteobacteria; Enterobacterales; Enterobacteriaceae. The record is from RNAcentral.
GGUUAAGCGACUAAGCGUACACGGUGGAUGCCCUGGCAGUCAGAGGCGAUGAAGGACGUGCUAAUCUGCGAUAAGCGUCGGUAAGGUGAUAUGAACCGUUAUAACCGGCGAUUUCCGAAUGGGGAAACCCAGUGUGUUUCGACACACUAUCAUUAACUGAAUCCAUAGGUUAAUGAGGCGAACCGGGGGAACUGAAACAUCUAAGUACCCCGAGGAAAAGAAAUCAACCGAGAUUCCCCCAGUAGCGGCGAGCGAACGGGGAGGAGCCCAGAGCCUGAAUCAGUGUGUGUGUUAGUGGAAGCGUCUGGAAAGGCGCGCGAUACAGGGUGACAGCCCCGUACACAAAAAUGCACAUAUUGUGAGCUCGAUGAGUAGGGCGGGACACGUGGUAUCCUGUCUGAAUAUGGGGGGACCAUCCUCCAAGGCUAAAUACUCCUGACUGACCGAUAGUGAACCAGUACCGUGAGGGAAAGGCGAAAAGAACCCCGGCGAGGGGAGUGAAAAAGAACCUGAAACCGUGUACGUACAAGCAGUGGGAGCACGCUUAGGCGUGUGACUGCGUACCUUUUGUAUAAUGGGUCAGCGACUUAUAUUCUGUAGCAAGGUUAACCGAAUAGGGGAGCCGAAGGGAAACCGAGUCUUAACUGGGCGUUAAGUUGCAGGGUAUAGACCCGAAACCCGGUGAUCUAGCCAUGGGCAGGUUGAAGGUUGGGUAACACUAACUGGAGGACCGAACCGACUAAUGUUGAAAAAUUAGCGGAUGACUUGUGGCUGGGGGUGAAAGGCCAAUCAAACCGGGAGAUAGCUGGUUCUCCCCGAAAGCUAUUUAGGUAGCGCCUCGUGAAUUCAUCUCCGGGGGUAGAGCACUGUUUCGGCAAGGGGGUCAUCCCGACUUACCAACCCGAUGCAAACUGCGAAUACCGGAGAAUGUUAUCACGGGAGACACACGGCGGGUGCUAACGUCCGUCGUGAAGAGGGAAACAACCCAGACCGCCAGCUAAGGUCCCAAAGUCAUGGUUAAGUGGGAAACGAUGUGGGAAGGCCCAGACAGCCAGGAUGUUGGCUUAGAAGCAGCCAUCAUUUAAAGAAAGCGUAAUAGCUCACUGGUCGAGUCGGCCUGCGCGGAAGAUGUAACGGGGCUAAACCAUGCACCGAAGCUGCGGCAGCGACACUAUGUGUUGUUGGGUAGGGGAGCGUUCUGUAAGCCUGCGAAGGUGUGCUGUGAGGCAUGCUGGAGGUAUCAGAAGUGCGAAUGCUGACAUAAGUAACGAUAAAGCGGGUGAAAAGCCCGCUCGCCGGAAGACCAAGGGUUCCUGUCCAACGUUAAUCGGGGCAGGGUGAGUCGACCCCUAAGGCGAGGCCGAAAGGCGUAGUCGAUGGGAAACAGGUUAAUAUUCCUGUACUUGGUGUUACUGCGAAGGGGGGACGGAGAAGGCUAUGUUGGCCGGGCGACGGUUGUCCCGGUUUAAGCGUGUAGGCUGGUUUUCCAGGCAAAUCCGGAAAAUCAAGGCUGAGGCGUGAUGACGAGGCACUACGGUGCUGAAGCAACAAAUGCCCUGCUUCCAGGAAAAGCCUCUAAGCAUCAGGUAACAUCAAAUCGUACCCCAAACCGACACAGGUGGUCAGGUAGAGAAUACCAAGGCGCUUGAGAGAACUCGGGUGAAGGAACUAGGCAAAAUGGUGCCGUAACUUCGGGAGAAGGCACGCUGAUAUGUAGGUGAAGCGACUUGCUCGUGGAGCUGAAAUCAGUCGAAGAUACCAGCUGGCUGCAACUGUUUAUUAAAAACACAGCACUGUGCAAACACGAAAGUGGACGUAUACGGUGUGACGCCUGCCCGGUGCCGGAAGGUUAAUUGAUGGGGUCAGCGCAAGCGAAGCUCUUGAUCGAAGCCCCGGUAAACGGCGGCCGUAACUAUAACGGUCCUAAGGUAGCGAAAUUCCUUGUCGGGUAAGUUCCGACCUGCACGAAUGGCGUAAUGAUGGCCAGGCUGUCUCCACCCGAGACUCAGUGAAAUUGAACUCGCUGUGAAGAUGCAGUGUACCCGCGGCAAGACGGAAAGACCCCGUGAACCUUUACUAUAGCUUGACACUGAACAUUGAGCCUUGAUGUGUAGGAUAGGUGGGAGGCUUUGAAGUGUGGACGCCAGUCUGCAUGGAGCCGACCUUGAAAUACCACCCUUUAAUGUUUGAUGUUCUAACGUGGACCCGUAAUCCGGGUUGCGGACAGUGUCUGGUGGGUAGUUUGACUGGGGCGGUCUCCUCCUAAAGAGUAACGGAGGAGCACGAAGGUUGGCUAAUCCUGGUCGGACAUCAGGAGGUUAGUGCAAUGGCAUAAGCCAGCUUGACUGCGAGCGUGACGGCGCGAGCAGGUGCGAAAGCAGGUCAUAGUGAUCCGGUGGUUCUGAAUGGAAGGGCCAUCGCUCAACGGAUAAAAGGUACUCCGGGGAUAACAGGCUGAUACCGCCCAAGAGUUCAUAUCGACGGCGGUGUUUGGCACCUCGAUGUCGGCUCAUCACAUCCUGGGGCUGAAGUAGGUCCCAAGGGUAUGGCUGUUCGCCAUUUAAAGUGGUACGCGAGCUGGGUUUAGAACGUCGUGAGACAGUUCGGUCCCUAUCUGCCGUGGGCGCUGGAGAACUGAGGGGGGCUGCUCCUAGUACGAGAGGACCGGAGUGGACGCAUCACUGGUGUUCGGGUUGUCAUGCCAAUGGCACUGCCCGGUAGCUAAAUGCGGAAGAGAUAAGUGCUGAAAGCAUCUAAGCACGAAACUUGCCCCGAGAUGAGUUCUCCCUGACCCUUUAAGGGUCCUGAAGGAACGUUGAAGACGACGACGUUGAUAGGCCGGGUGUGUAAGCGCAGCGAUGCGUUGAGCUAACCGGUACUAAUGAACCGUGAGGCUUAACCUU